GCUGUUGUUAAAGUCCAAUUUCAGAAGGAAAAACUUCCCUUGUUUGACAGUCUUUUAGAUGAUAUCAAAGAUGGCAAUAACCGUCAUCCCAGAUGGUGUUUUGGAUUCAGAUGGAGCUGAUAGAGAUGGCGACCUGAUCUGGGUCCCUCUCUCUCUGACCCAUUCUAGCCAGGACAUGUCUGAGGAAGGACAGGGUCCCAGAAAUGGUGGGGUGGCAUCUAUGAUGGUGAGGCUCGCUUUUGAGGUCCCAAAAAAGGAGCGAUGGGUAGAAUAGCCCAGAACCUUAUUAUUUUGUCCAUGAAUUAGGCUUAAUAUCCAGCAUACCAAUUUUAACUCAUUAAUUUCCAGCUCUACAUCUCCUAUUUUUAACAAGCCUAAUUUCAACACAGUUCUUGAAUUAUAUCAGUAGACCUUUUUGUUUAAAAACUCAUUCAGUUAUUCUGUCUACCUUUCGUACCUUUUCCCAUCAGCAUUUGUUGUUAUAUGUUACUGUAACAUCUUAUGAACUUUUACAUACUUUUUACAGUUGAGUUCAUAAUUCGGGUCAAUUUGUAGGCCCAAUACUCACAACAGAACUCACAGUCAACAGGUAUCAGUGAGGCAGGGCCUUAGUAUGAUUUAAUAUGUGAUUAGAUGUUUAUAUAAAUGAAAGUACAUCCACAGAUGCACAGGAUUGUAUGAACGUUUAUACAAGAUAUAAACACUCAUGGUUCAGGGCCUAAAACAGUUGCUAAGUGCUGAAAACUAGGAAGUCAAUGGGAACUGGUGAUGUUAAGCACUUGGCAGGAUUGGGCCGUUAAUGAAUGAACUCUGGUAAUGCAAUUGAGGGAUAAUUAUAUAGGGAAUACAGCCUGUAAUCCUUUCCCCCCAUCUGUUCACAAAAGGAAUGAUUAUCUCAGUGCUGAUCAACAAGAAGCUUUAUUGUUCCCUGAAGCAAUAUUACAGAAUAACUUGGAAAUUUGAUAUAAUUCAGCAUUAGAAUAAAACCAGUGCUCUUUCCUACUCUAUGCAAUUUAUUUCUGAGAGGAAAGUAAUUCCAUGAAUGGCAGAAUAAAUAAUAGAAAUGAUCACAAUGCCCAAUUUAGUCCUGUUAUCAUUCUAAUGUCUAAAUAACUACUGCUGCAAGAACACUUUUCACAGUAACUCGUGAACAACAAAAUUCUACUGUCUGAAUGUGUAAUGUCCUGAUCAACAUGGGCAGACCUCAGAGCCCCACUGACUUCAUUUGGACUCUACAUAGGCAGAAGGCCCACAUGCAUGCAGAUCAGAUAUCAAGAUUGGGGACCAAAACCAGUUUAUUUCAUCACUAUUCUCUGUUCUACUCUCUAUCUAGGCUGGAGGAAGAAAAUAUUUGUCAGAGUAUCUGGAACACAGAUAACGUGGAGGAAUAUAGAGAUAGCCUUGAUUGGAACUGAUGGGCUCAAAAGGAAAUACACAAUUGCCAAUUUUAUUUUCUGUGUGUGAAAUUUACCCAUGACAUGGAGAGCUGGCACAAGGGCCUCUACACGGUGCCUAUAGUCACACAGGGUUGCUCUGCUAACUUAAAAUCCUGACUACUGGCUUGUCUGGAAUACGUCAAACAAGAUUUAUUGGCAAGAUCUUAAUGAGAUCUAGUCUGCAAGGCCAAAGCAGAGAGGCAGAAAAAGCAUAUUUAGAAAUCUCUAAAUCCAGCCAUUUCUUAUGAGGUUUGCCAGAGGAACGGAAAAAGCUUAGGAAGCCUGCAGCAGUGUUGACAAGUUCAUCAGACUUCCUGCUCAGAUACAGUAACUCAGUGCGCCCACUAAGCACACACAGAAACAGAGAAAGGUCCCCAAGACCUGCAUAACCAAGGAACCUACUCCGGUCCAACUUAGGAAGUCUAUUUGGGCAGGACCCCAUUCCUGUGAAUCUUUGGAAAUUCCUAAUAUGAGGAGUCCUCUCCUGUAGAUCUUUUGAGACACACUGGAGUGGGAGGAGUUCUGAGGCAUUGGGAAUAAUUCCUGUUGUUGUAUACUAUUUGUACUACAGCAGCACCUAGAAGACCCAACUGAAAUUGGAGGACUGUUUGUACUAGGCACAAACAUAUUCAUAGAUAAUGGUGUAAUAAUUACUUGGGUGGAAGUACUGAUCUUCCCUGCUAACUUAUCACAGGUACUUUUAAUAAAGCAUUGACAGUUACCAGCUAUUGCUGUAUCACAGUCUUCUCUUUCAACCUCCCUCUUUUGAGAUUUUAAAAUUGUAACUUGGUUUCAGAUUUGUGUGGUGCUGUCAUUUAAAUUUUUGGAACUAGUCUGAGGCUAUAAAGGCCUGAUCUAAUCACAGGAAGAUUUGCCUUGGGAAAAGAUUAUCAGUCAAGAUGUUCAUACCUUGUAAAUGGCAAAAUAAAUUUUCAGUGUCUGGAAGAGCCUGGGCAGCUAACUGGGAUCCUUCUGUGCCAUCUCCAACCUGAGCUACAGAGGGUGGAUGUGCCUACAGAAGAGGCUACUCUCGGAUUCCUUUUAAGGAGUGGGCCGGUGUGUUUCCAAGUAGUCAUUUUCUAGAGGCAAACUGGAUGUUCACACAGAUGAUUGGAAUUUGGCUUGCUGCACUUUAUCUGCUGGACCCAACAGCAGGCGAAAAAGUUUGCUACCGACGACUUGGCUGCUUCUCAGAUAAACCGCCAUGGGCUGGAAUACCAGGGAGAUUUCUGGCAGGUUUACCCGACCCUCCAGAGAGUAUGAACAUCAGCUUCACCCUUUACACUAAAGAAACUAGAAAUAACUCUCAAGUGAUCUCUGCAAUACAUUCCUCAACUAUCAAAGACUCAUAUUUCUGCUCACAUAGGAAAACACGCUUCAUUGUUCAUGGAUUCAUGAGCACCGGAAAACGUGGCUGGGUGGUAGAGAUG
Trachemys scripta elegans is the source of this 2866-nucleotide RNA transcript. It is a transcript of the gene named pancreatic lipase-related protein 2-like, with no coding region annotated. Lineage: Eukaryota; Metazoa; Chordata; Testudines; Emydidae. The record is from RefSeq and is a predicted model, not a curated record. The transcript is spliced from 9 exons.